RNAcentral lists this ribosomal RNA (656 nucleotides) under uncultured eukaryote. RNAcentral describes it as "eukaryotic LSU rRNA". The stretch from base 240 to 394 matches the Rfam family "5.8S ribosomal RNA". The record is from RNAcentral.
ACUAGUGAUUUCCGUAGGUGAACCUGCGGAAGGAUCAUUCGCACAUGUUCCAAUAACACUCUUGUGAAUUCUUCUGUGAGGUGUGUGUGGGGAUGCUUCUUGCUCCCCAUGCAUGUUCUCGCGGGUGGUGGGGCGGACGGGAUGAAUAACAACAUACCCGUUCGUUCCCACUGCCACUGCAUACCGCAAGUCAGCUUGAUGCAGCCUUCUGUCAAUGGCAAUUGCCAUGUGCAGCUCACAACUUUCAGCGAUGGAUGUCUCGGUUCGAACAACGAUGAAGGGCGCAGCGAAGUGCGAUAAGCAUUGUGAAUUGCAGAAUUCCGUGAACCGACAGGGACUUGAACGCAUAUUGUGCUUUUGGGAUAUCCCUAAAAGCAUGCCUGCUUCAGUGUCUAUUUUGUGUUGUUUCAGUGGCUGUCGCUUUUCAUCAAGCAUGCUGCUGUGAGUGUUUGUGCCUCAAGAUGUGCUGGUCCUUUCUGGUAGUACUCCUGAGGCAUGCGAUUGACAAGGCUCCGUUGUGACGGUCAGCUUACUAAGGCAUCUUUGUGUGCAGCUAGUUGUGCUCGUCGCAUCGUGGGGCUUGCCGUCAAUUUUGGUAAUACCAAGCUUUAAGACAUGAAGUUAGGUUGGCAAACCCGCUGAAUUUAAGCAUAUCA